RNAcentral lists this ribosomal RNA (620 nucleotides) under Uromyces viciae-fabae. RNAcentral describes it as "eukaryotic LSU rRNA". The stretch from base 210 to 363 matches the Rfam family "5.8S ribosomal RNA". The record is from RNAcentral. Lineage: Eukaryota; Fungi; Basidiomycota; Pucciniomycetes; Pucciniales; Pucciniaceae.
UGCAGAAGGAUCAUUAUUUAAUCUAAAUGAGUGCACUUAAUUGUGGCUCAAACUUUACACUUUUCACCCCAAAACUUGUUUGUGUGGCAUUUAUGCCAUUGCACUCAGGUAUACGUAACAUUUCUUUGUUACAUUAUCCCCCUCCCAAUUUUUUUUUUUUUAUAAACACAAGUUGAAUGUAAGAAUGUAAAACCUUUUAUUUGAAAAAUAACUUUUAACAAUGGAUCUCUAGGCUCUCAUAUCGAUGAAGAACACAGUGAAAUGUGAUAAGUAAUGUGAAUUGCGGAAUUCAGUGAAUCAUUGAAUCUUUGAACGCACCUUGCACCUUUUGGUAUUCCAAAAGGUACACCUGUUUGAGUGUCAUGAAAAUCUCUCAUCAAAUUUAUUUUUGGUGGAUGUUGAGUGCUGCUGUUAUCUAGCUCACUUUAAAUAUAUAAGUUCUUCCUUAUGUUGUUGGAUUGACUUGGUGUAAUAUUUAACUUUGUUUUCAUCAAGGAAAGUAGCAAUACUUGCCAAUAUAUUAAGUAAGGACUCCUAAAAAACAACUAUUUCAUUUUUUAAGACCUCAAAUCAGGUGGGACUACCUGCUGAACUUAAGCAUAUCAAUAAGCAGAGGAAAA